UCGCUGCCGCCUUGCAGUUUGAUCUCAGACUGCUGUGCUAGCAAUCAGCGAGACUCCGUGGGCGUAGGACCCUCCGAGCCAGGUGCGGGAUAUAAUCUCGUCGUGCGCCAUUUUUUAAGCCCGUCGGAAAUGCGCAGUAUUCGGGUGGGAGUGACCCGAUUUUCCAGGUGCCGUCCGUCACCCCUUUCUUUGAUUAGGAAAGGGAACUCCCUGACCCCUAGCACUUCCCGAGUGAGGCAAUGCCUCGCCCUGCUUCGGCUCGCGCACGGUGCGCACCCACUGACCUGCGCCCACUGUCUGGCGCUCCCUAGUGAGAUGAACCCGGUACCUCAGAUGGAAAUGCAGAAAUCACCCGUCUUCUGCGUCGCUCAGGCUGAUUGCUGCAGACCGGAGCUGUUCCUAUUCGGCCAUCUUGCCUCCUCCCCCGGAAUUUUCUUAAUUGACCCUGGGCCAGGGAAAGAAAUGAAUGAAGAUGCCACCUUAUGCCCAGAACACAUCUCUCAUUCAAUGAUAAAGGAUUUGUGGUUGGGUCAACUUUUGUGAUGCUCAACUCUUUCCUUCGUAAGGACGGGCUCUUUCUCAGGAGGCUUUUGUACUCCCAAUUAACGCACUGCUAAUCUGAUGAAGCUCUAUUUUGUAGCUAUGCCAUCUGGAUCACAUAGCCUCCAAGGCCAGCAGAGCAGAGGAAGACAAAGAGCAGAGCAAGAUAGAGCAAUGCUUUCAGUAACCUGGAGAGGUACACAUGGCUGGUAUAACAAUUAUCUUCAUUUAAUGAUGUGGAAACACCUACCACAAGUCCUGGCACAUUGAGGGUCUUGAAUAAAUUCUGUCAGAUGAACGGACAAGCGCACAAAAGGUUGAAAGAGUG
This 868-nucleotide long non-coding RNA is filed under the name Homo sapiens (human). RNAcentral's name for it is "HSALNT0339151". Lineage: Eukaryota; Metazoa; Chordata; Mammalia; Primates; Hominidae. The record is from RNAcentral.